RNAcentral lists this unclassified non-coding RNA (896 nucleotides) under Hevea brasiliensis (rubber tree). The record is from RNAcentral. Lineage: Eukaryota; Viridiplantae; Streptophyta; Magnoliopsida; Malpighiales; Euphorbiaceae.
GCACAGAAGCGUUGGAAUUUGCUCAAUCCAAGUUGACCCCAUUUGGGAAAGUCCAGAAAUAUGUUGAAAAGCUUGAAGAUUUUAUGGCUCUGCUUGCUUAUGAAGAACCAGAAAAAUCUCCAAUGUUUCAUCUGCUUAGCUUGGACUAUCGGCAGCAAGUUGUAGAUAGUUUGAACCGAGCUAUUCUUGCGCAUGCAAACCGCCCAAGCUAUGCAGCAAUUGAGAGGCUGAUACAACAGACAACAGUGGUCAGGCAAUGCUUAAGUCAAGAUCACAACAAGGAUGGCCUUCCACCAUUCUCUUUGAAGGAUUUUCUCAAAAGCUAGAUAUGAUGUGUUUCCAAUACUUUGGUAGGGGUAGCCAAGGUUACUUCACAACUCAUUGCCACCAUAUGGUUUUGGUGUAAGGUUUUCACAUGGGUAGAUGAUGGUCAUCGAUGCCUCCACAUCUGUUAAAAGUUGCCAAGUAGGCUGUCUCAUGUGUCUGGGUUUUGCAUUUGUUGAGGUACGCCUCUUUUCAUGGUUGGCCACAAUGCUAGCGCAUUUUGGUUCCACCCUGCAAAGUUUGGAUUUAUUUUAGCUGGUGGUUUUGAUGAUCCUAUGGCUUUUAUUUGCUUGCUAGUAUUAAGACCUUAGGAAUUAAGAUUAUCUGUAGCCUAACAUCAUAUUUUUAUUUGGCAUAAAUAGGAGUCUUGUUUAGUGAAGCAAGGUCAAGAUUCAAAGACCAUUUCAUAUCAUUUCUCAUAUGGGAAAAACUUAGGAAAAUUGUUUAUGAUAUCUCUCACGUGGCAAAAGCUGCCAGCAGUUGUGUGGUUGUAAAUAUAUUCAUAUUUGAGUAACCUGUUAUUAUCUGAAAACUGCUUCUACAUUUUUUGAGUGAUUAUAUAUUUACAUUGC